UACGUAGGGUGCAAGCGUUGUCCGGAAUUAUUGGGCGUAAAGAGCUCGUAGGCGGUUUGUUGCGUCGGCUGUGAAAUCCCGAGGCUCAACCUCGGGUCUGCAGUCGAUACGAGCAAACUAGAGUGUUGCAGGGGAGACUGGAAUUCCUGGUGUAGCGGUGAAAUGCGCAGAUAUCAGGAGGAACACCGGUGGCGGAAGGCGGGUCUCUGGG
RNAcentral lists this ribosomal RNA (211 nucleotides) under uncultured bacterium. Its description in RNAcentral is "partial 16S ribosomal RNA". It matches the Rfam family "Bacterial small subunit ribosomal RNA", at positions 524 to 733 of the family's 1533-position model. The record is from RNAcentral.